CCUACGGGAGGCAGCAGUGAGGAAUAUUGGUCAAUGGGCGAGAGCCUGAACCAGCCAAGUAGCGUGAAGGAUGAAGGUCCUACGGAUUGUAAACUUCUUUUAUACGGGAAUAAAGUAUCCUACGUGUAGGAUUUUGUAUGUACCGUAUGAAUAAGGAUCGGCUAACUCCGUGCCAGCAGCCGCGGUAAUACGGAGGAUCCGAGCGUUAUCCGGAUUUAUUGGGUUUAAAGGGAGCGUAGGCGGGUGCUUAAGUCAGUUGUGAAAGUUUGCGGCUCAACCGUAAAAUUGCAGUUGAUACUGGGCGCCUUGAGUGCAGCAUAGGUAGGCGGAAUUCGUGGUGUAGCGGUGAAAUGCUUAGAUAUCACGAAGAACUCCAAUUGCGAAGGCAGCCUGCUAAGCUGCAACUGACAUUGAGGCUCGAAAG
RNAcentral lists this ribosomal RNA (424 nucleotides) under uncultured Bacteroides sp. RNAcentral describes it as "bacterial SSU rRNA". It matches the Rfam family "Bacterial small subunit ribosomal RNA", at positions 338 to 759 of the family's 1533-position model. The record is from RNAcentral. Lineage: Bacteria; Pseudomonadati; Bacteroidota; Bacteroidia; Bacteroidales; Bacteroidaceae.